Molecule: ribosomal RNA, 474 nt
Filed under: unidentified nematode Sourhope farm
Lineage: Eukaryota; Metazoa; Nematoda
Description: SSU rRNA
Rfam family: Eukaryotic small subunit ribosomal RNA
Source: RNAcentral
UCUAAGCACAUGCCUUAAAACGGUGAAGCCGCGAAUAGCUCAUUACAACAGCCAUCGUUUAUUAGAAUAUCGUUAUCCUACUUGGAUAACUGUGGCAAUUCUAGAGCUAAUACAUGCAAUAAAGCUCUGCCCGCAAGGAACGAGCGCAUUUAUUAGAAUAAAAACCAAUCGGGUUUCGGCCCGUAAUUUGGUGAAUCUGAAUAACUUUGCCAAUCGCACAGUCCUAGUACUGGCGAUGUAUCUUUCAAGUGUCUGCCUUAUCAACUUUCGAUGGUACGCUAUACGCCUACCAUGGUAGUAACGGGUAACGGAGAAUAAGGGUUCGACUCCGGAGAGGGAGCCUGAGAAACGGCUACCACAUCCAAGGAAGGCAGCAGGCGCGCAAAUUACCCACUUCCAGAACGGAGAGGUAGUGACGAAAAAUAACGAGACAGUCCUCUUCGAGGUCUGUCAUCGGAAUGGGUACAAUUUAAU